GACGAACCGUACGAACGUUAUUCGGAAUCACUGGGCUUAAAGGGUGCGUAGGCGGUGCGGAAAGUUGGGUGUGAAAUCCCUCGGCUCAACCGAGGAAUUGCGCCCAAAACUGCCGUGCUAGAGGAAGACAGAGGUGAGCGGAACUUAGGGUGGAGCGGUGAAAUGCGUUGAUAUCCUAAGGAACACCAGUGGCGAAAGCGGCUCACUGGGUCUUUUCUGACGCUGAGGCACGAAAGCUAGGGGAGCAAACGGG
This 253-nucleotide ribosomal RNA is filed under the name uncultured bacterium. Its description in RNAcentral is "partial 16S ribosomal RNA". It matches the Rfam family "Bacterial small subunit ribosomal RNA", at positions 524 to 776 of the family's 1533-position model. The record is from RNAcentral.